Molecule: long non-coding RNA, 766 nt
Filed under: Nicotiana benthamiana
Lineage: Eukaryota; Viridiplantae; Streptophyta; Magnoliopsida; Solanales; Solanaceae
Description: long non-coding RNA (NBEN_LNC006573)
Source: RNAcentral
GGAAUUUUAACUUUUUCUGCCUUCUGAUCCUUGUUUUUUUGUUUGAAACCAAAUUCACUUCGUCCUGCACGACACGUUUUCUCUUGCUCUUCUUUUUCUCAGAUUUUCCAACAAUAUCCUUUCGAGAUUCUAACACUUUAACAUUGUUGGAACGAUUUUGACUUCACAUAUUUUGUUCAUCAAUCGAUUUCUCAACUAAAAUCGGGGUUGAAUGAGUACUUUAACACUAUCAGAACGAUUUUGACUUUGCAUAUUUUCUUCAUCUUUCUCAACUAAAACCAGAGUUAAAUGAGGAGAUAAACUCAUCGACCUAGUUUCUCUUCUAAUGUUGCUCGAUUUCUCUAUUGAAAUAGACUUUGAAUAAGGUGAUAAACUCAUCGAACGGUUUGUCUUCUCAUAUUGCUCUGUUUCAAAAUUGAAAUUAGGUUCAAUGACAAAAAAAAUUUAAAAAAAUAUAUGAACUUGGUUACGGAAAUUUGUGAAGAAAUUAAUACAAAAACUCGACCAAAACUUACAAAAUCAGUUGCAAAAGCCUAAAGAAAAGCAACAUCGAUUCUACAAAAACACAUGCAAUCAAAAAAAAAAAAUACAAAAUAAGAGGUUUUCUACUUCAAAAUAACCGGAAUCAGACGAAAAUAACCGAAAAUCUAUCUUGUUUUGUCGUCAAUUUCAUCAAUUUUGGUUGAAUUUAGGAAAAAAUCAUAGAAAGAGCGAGAGAGAGAGAGAGAGUGAGAGAUAUCAAGUAAGAGAGAGAACUCGGUUUUGC